AGAUGUCGAGGCUUCUUUUUGUCACAUAUUCUGUCUUCCUUUUUACACAAUUUGAUAUUUGUACUGCAAGUUUCUUUGAUAUUCACUACCCGGAUGUGUUUUUUACGGCUGAGCAAGGAGGGAACUUGACUAUUAGGGCUGGACCAAACGGCGGGGACAUCAUCAUGCUCCCACAGGGCAAUGGAACCGUAUAUAUUGGC
Molecule: long non-coding RNA, 200 nt
Organism: Saccostrea cuccullata (small rock oyster)
Lineage: Eukaryota; Metazoa; Mollusca; Bivalvia; Ostreida; Ostreidae
Exons: 3
Source: RefSeq, a predicted model, not a curated record